This 552-nucleotide long non-coding RNA is filed under the name Felis catus (domestic cat). RNAcentral's name for it is "lncRNA (ENSFCAG00000044662.2)". The record is from RNAcentral. Lineage: Eukaryota; Metazoa; Chordata; Mammalia; Carnivora; Felidae.
CUGCUGCAUUGCUUUCACCAUAUUUCUUAAAAUGCAAGCAUAUCCUUCCCCUACUGUCUACCUGGAGAACAGAUUUCUUUCUGACAGUGUCUGAUGUGUGCAUUUUACACCCUGUGUCACACUGGCAGCUUUCCAGGCCUGUGAUCUCAGGGGAUGUUUGAGGCCCAGGAGAGGCCAGUGGUCUCUGUUCCCUUUGCAGUCUGGAACUGGAAGGGAUUACUGAGGUGGGGAAGGCUGAGAGCUGCUGUUACCAUGGACACGGUGGCCGUGGGGACCGGAAACCACCGACUAGCCACAGAGAAGAGCCGUGAACUCCAUUGUCACGGGUGCCAUGGGGGACCCUGGGUGGAGGGGCAUGAGCUGGGGCCCCAGGCAGCUUCGAGAAGGAGCCUUUCGGAAAGGGAACAUAAAAGUCACUGGAAAGUUCCGGCUCCUGCCACCGUCGGGCCUCUUUUGAGGCUCCACGCACGACUCAUUUGUCACCAGAGAGUUGAUCUGAAGAACAAUGGACCUGUGCACGACGCUUUGAAUCGGGCAGGAAGAACCCUCUAG